GACGAACGCUGGCGGCGUGCUUAACACAUGCAAGUCGAACGAAGAGCGAUGGAAGCUUGCUUCUAUCAAUCUUAGUGGCGAACGGGUGAGUAACGCGUAAUCAACCUGCCCUUCAGAGGGGGACAACAGUUGGAAACGACUGCUAAUACCGCAUACGAUCUAAUCUCGGCAUCGAGGAUAGAUGAAAGGUGGCCUCUACAUGUAAGCUAUCACUGAAGGAGGGGAUUGCGUCUGAUUAGCUAGUUGGAGGGGUAACGGCCCACCAAGGCGAUGAUCAGUAGCCGGUCUGAGAGGAUGAACGGCCACAUUGGGACUGAGACACGGCCCAGACUCCUACGGGAGGAAGCAGUGGGGAAUCUUCCGCAAUGGACGAAAGUCUGACGGAGCAACGCCGCGUGAGUGAUGACGGCCUUCGGGUUGUAAAGCUCUGUUAAUCGGGACGAAAGGCCUUCUUGCGAACAGUUAGAAGGAUUGACGGUACCGGAAUAGAAAGCCACGGCUAACUACGUG
RNAcentral lists this ribosomal RNA (510 nucleotides) under uncultured bacterium. RNAcentral's name for it is "partial 16S ribosomal RNA". It matches the Rfam family "Bacterial small subunit ribosomal RNA", at positions 28 to 507 of the family's 1533-position model. The record is from RNAcentral.